UACGUAGGGGGCGAGCGUUGUCCGAAGUUACUGGGCGUAAAGCGCGCGUAGGCGGUUAUUCAAGUCUGGGGUGAAAGGUCAGCGCUCAACGUGAACAGUGCCUUGGAUACUGGAUGACUUGAGUCUGGGAGGGGGAAGGGGAAUUCCUGGUGUAGCGGUGAAAUGCGUAGAUAUCAGGAGGAACACCGGUGGCGAAGGCGCCUUCCUGGCCUAAGACUGACGCUGAGGUGCGAAAGCGUGGGGAGCAAACGGG
RNAcentral lists this unclassified non-coding RNA (253 nucleotides) under uncultured Armatimonadota bacterium. RNAcentral's name for it is "uncultured Armatimonadetes bacterium contains 16S-23S intergenic spacer region". It matches the Rfam family "Bacterial small subunit ribosomal RNA", at positions 524 to 776 of the family's 1533-position model. The record is from RNAcentral. Lineage: Bacteria; Bacillati; Armatimonadota.